Molecule: long non-coding RNA, 1056 nt
Organism: Anthonomus grandis grandis
Lineage: Eukaryota; Metazoa; Arthropoda; Insecta; Coleoptera; Curculionidae
Exons: 2
Source: RefSeq, a predicted model, not a curated record
AUUGUCCUUUGUAAACAGAUUUAUUGUAUAAGGUCAGAAAAUUUUUUGUUUAUACAGAUUGGAUUUUGGUAAAUAAAGGAGGAUUAAUACGUGAUGAAUGCAGUGCGUGUUUUUGUUUCUUCUUGGUUAGAUGGUGCCUGAUUUUCGAUAUAAAUAAACAUGGACCGCUCUCAGCUUAUUAUCCCAUCAAAAAUCCUCGACACCUUAGUAUGUGAAAACUGCUACAGCUACCUCACAGUCUUGCCCGUUUGUGUACUUCCUAAUGGAUUUAAAAUAUGCGGACGAUGCUUACGUAAAAAAUAUCCAAGAACAUCAAAAAAGCCUUUUUGUUUACUUGAAAACUUGGAUGCUGUUUAUAACAUUCCCAUAGCAUUGCUCGGAUAUAUGAGUUACUUAUCUACAUUCCCUUGUAUAAAUAACUACGAGGGCUGCAGAGAAACUUUUAAACUGGAAGAUAUAGAGAUCCACGAAGAAAAUUGUGUUUUUAAAAAGAUUCGGUGCGCGUUGUGUAGAUUUAGUGGUGUGGGUUGUCAAAUGGUGAACCACUUUAAGACGUUUCAUAAAAAGUAUUUUUCAAGAGAAGCAAGGCUAGUGCUGAGGACUUGCAAUAAUUUUCAAGAUACCGCGCUAUGUGAUUUUUUAAAUCAUCUUUUAUUUGUUACAAUAGCGUUCCAGAAACAAAAUCGAACUUUAUCAUUGCGAUUUAAUUGUAUUAGUGAUAUAAGUUGUUUUGCUUUUGCCAAAUUAUUUUUGAGGUUUGUUUGUAAAGGAGCCAAAGAAUUUGGACAAUUAGAGCUUUUAUCAGAGAAGCUUUUUUUGAUUAAGGGUGAGAGUUUUGAGAUUUCGGUACAAACUGAAGAUUUUCAUUUUGUGGAAUCUGAUAGCGUAGAAUGCACUUUUAAGGUAUUUUUUGUAUAAAAUGUAUUAUUGUAAAUAAGUGAUCAUAUAAUUUAGAUUUUGUUAUUUAUUAGGUAUGGAUUCAUAGCAUUUUUUACAUUAGAUUUUUUAUCUAGUAUAUUGUUUAUUAGUAAAGAAAUAUACAAAUACCAACUUGUA